GUGUCAGCAGCCGCGGUAAUACGAAGGUGGCUAGCGUUGUUCGGAAUCACUGGGCUUAAAGAGCACGUAGGCGGCCUGUCAAGCGUCUUGUGAAAUCCCUCGGCUCAACCGAGGAACGGCUGGGCGAACUGGCAGGCUUGAGGCAGGUAGGGGUACACGGAACUCUUGGUGGAGCGGUGGAAUGCGUAGAUAUCAAGAGGAACGCCGGUGGCGAAGGCGGUGUACUGGGCCUGUCCUGACGCUGAGGUGCGAAAGCCAGGGGAGCAAACGGGAUUAGAUACCCCGGUAGUCCUGGCCCUAAACGAUGUCCCCUAGGUCGAAGGUUCUCUGACGGAGUUUCGGCCGAAACAAAAGCGUUAAGUGGACCGCCUGGGGAGUACGGUCGCAAGGCUAAAACUCAAAUGAAUUGACGGGG
RNAcentral lists this ribosomal RNA (415 nucleotides) under uncultured prokaryote. Its description in RNAcentral is "bacterial SSU rRNA". It matches the Rfam family "Bacterial small subunit ribosomal RNA", at positions 505 to 918 of the family's 1533-position model. The record is from RNAcentral.